This 497-nucleotide ribosomal RNA is filed under the name uncultured bacterium. RNAcentral describes it as "partial 16S ribosomal RNA". It matches the Rfam family "Bacterial small subunit ribosomal RNA", at positions 28 to 507 of the family's 1533-position model. The record is from RNAcentral.
GAUGAACGCUGGCGGCGUGCCUAAUACAUGCAAGUCGAGCGAACGGAUGAGAAGCUUGCUUCUCUGAUGUUAGCGGCGGACGGGUGAGUAACACGUGGAUAACCUACCUAUAAGACUGGGAUAACUUCGGGAAACCGUAGCUAAUACCGGAUAAUAUUUUGAACCGCAUGGUUCAAAAGUGAAAGACGGUCUUGCUGUCACUUAUAGAUGGAUCCGCGCUGCAUUAGCUAGUUGGUAAGGUAACGGCUUACCAAGGCAACGAUGCAUAGCCGACCUGAGAGGGUGAUCGGCCACACUGGAACUGAGACACGGUCCAGACUCCUACGGGAGGCAGCAGUAGGGAAUCUUCCGCAAAGGGCGAAAGCCUGACGGAGCAACGCCGCGUGAGUGAUGAAGGUCUUCGGAUCGUAAAACUCUGUUAUUAGGGAAGAACAUAUGUGUAAGUAACUGUGCACAUCUUGACGGUACCUAAUCAGAAAGCCACGGCUAACUACGUG